This 253-nucleotide ribosomal RNA is filed under the name uncultured bacterium. RNAcentral describes it as "partial 16S ribosomal RNA". It matches the Rfam family "Bacterial small subunit ribosomal RNA", at positions 524 to 776 of the family's 1533-position model. The record is from RNAcentral.
GACGAACCGAGCGAACGUUGUUCGGAAUCACUGGGCUUAAAGGGCGCGUAGGCGGGGUCAUAAGUCUGUGGUGAAAUCCUCCGGCUCAACCGGAGAACUGCCUCGGAUACUGUGGCUCUCGAGGGUGGUAGGGGUAUGCGGAACUAUCGGUGGAGCGGUGAAAUGCGUUGAUAUCGAUAGGAACUCCGGUGGCGAAGGCGGCAUACUGGACCACUUCUGACGUUGAGGCGCGAAAGCAUGGGGAGCGAACAGG